Molecule: long non-coding RNA, 905 nt
Filed under: Daphnia pulicaria
Lineage: Eukaryota; Metazoa; Arthropoda; Branchiopoda; Diplostraca; Daphniidae
Description: uncharacterized LOC124338386, transcript variant X3
Source: RNAcentral
GAAAUUAAACCUGUUGAUGAAACCUCCGCUACUCGCCAGUCGCCACCGGAGGGCUACUCUUCGCCAAUAAUCGUUCCAUAUCCACUUUUCCACAAAUUACGUUUGUAUUUCAAGACGCUCAAUUGUGGGAGGCAGUUAGUUAUCUCUGGUGAGAUUUCGUACGUCAAACUCAAACCAGUCAAACGUCAGAAGAAAUUUUUGAAUUUGUUCCACGAAUUUUUGUGUUAUAGCAUGCCGUCACUUCUAGCUUCUAGCAUGUUUCUAGCUUGGGACACAGCUUGGGAUCCAAAUACAUUUCCAUGAAAAGUCUUCACAACAGGUUUACAUACUGCCGCUAUGACACACUGGAUCAUUAGUUGUUGAAGCCCUUCUCAGAACAAGUUCUGUGUUGCUCUCUAUUAUUUUUAUAUACCUUGUCAGAUACUACAUUUGCUGCCAUCUGUUCUGUGGACAAGACAUUGCUGCCAGUUAAGAGGUUGUUGUGAACAUCACUUGGGUUGUUAUUAAGGAAAAUGAUUGAUUAGAGGUUUGUCCCUCACUGAUUUUAAAUCAGGUUAACCCCUCGGCACUGUGCCAUAUCCAUUGGUGGAAAAUGAAAAUAUACAGAGUUGGAUUGACCUGGAGUAUAUGGAUUAUCAGUCUGGUAAAACUAUGAACUUCUUUGUUGCUGCCCAACGUACACAUGGAUUUGAUGCAGCCAGCUGAGGGCUUCAACUCUUGUUUAGUGUUUUAUGUUCGCGGUGUUUUAUGUUCGCGUUGUUGCUGUGUGAUGUGGCACGUUGUUGAAGCCUAUGCUGGUGAAAGAUCUUUCUUUUCUACAUCAAGUUCAAUUGACCGUUCCUUGGUGCUGAUGUUGUGUUACCGAAGUUGCAUCAUAUUUUGUUAAAUUGUCAUCGUGACUAUUU